RNAcentral lists this non-coding RNA (176 nucleotides) under Chloroflexi bacterium RBG_13_60_9. RNAcentral's name for it is "6S RNA". It matches the Rfam family "6S / SsrS RNA". From Rfam's summary of the family: E. coli 6S RNA was the first non coding RNA to be sequenced, but its function was unknown until recently. It consists of 184 nucleotides that fold into an extended hairpin structure with a large single-stranded internal bulge. The record is from RNAcentral. Lineage: Bacteria; Bacillati; Chloroflexota.
CAAGCCCUGCCGUGUUCGUGAUGUUGCACUACGGUUUUGAGCCAACACUCUGAACCUGGGAACCAUCUCUCACGAGGGCGAAGCGAUAGGCUCCGGCCAAGGCUGGACCCGACGGAAGGUUCCCACCUGCGAAAGCAGGUUCAAAAUCCAGCAGCACACGGCAUGGCGGGGUACGU